ACGAACGUUGGCGGCGUGGAUUAGGCAUGCAAGUCGAACGAAUGUCAGUUUUGUAGCAAUACAGAGCUGGCGGAAGUGGCGAAAGGGGCAGUUAUGCAUGGAUAACCUACCUUGGGGAUGGGGAUAGCCGUUCUAACGAGCGGGUAAUACCCAGAGAUUCAGCGGGAAGGCAUCUUUCUGCUGGGAAAUGAAUUUCGCCUCGAGAGGGGUCCAUGUGCUAUUAGCUAGUUGGCGGGGUAACGGCCCACCAAGGCUAAGAUGGCUAGCGGGUGUGAGAGCACGACCCGCGCCACUGGCACUGAGACACUGGCCAGACACCUACGGGUGGCUGCAGUCGAGGAUCUUCGUCAAUGGGCGCAAGCCUGAACGAGCGACGCCGCGUGCGCGAUGAAGGCCUUCGGGUUGUAACCACUGUCA
RNAcentral lists this ribosomal RNA (417 nucleotides) under uncultured bacterium. RNAcentral describes it as "bacterial SSU rRNA". It matches the Rfam family "Bacterial small subunit ribosomal RNA", at positions 29 to 438 of the family's 1533-position model. The record is from RNAcentral.